AGUGAACGCUGGCGGUAGGCCUAACACAUGCAAGUCGAACGGCAGCACAGUAAGAGCUUGCUCUUACGGGUGGCGAGUGGCGGACGGGUGAGGAAUACAUCGGAAUCUACUUUUUCGUGGGGGAUAACGUAGGGAAACUUACGCUAAUACCGCAUACGACCUACGGGUGAAAGCAGGGGAUCUUCGGACCUUGCGCGAUUGAAUGAGCCGAUGUCGGAUUAGCUAGUUGGCGGGGAAAGGCCCACCAAGGCGACGAUCCGUAGCUGGUCUGAGAGGAUGAUCAGCCACACUGGAACUGAGACACGGUCCAGACUCCUACGGGAGGCAGCCUUGGGGAAUACUCGACACUGGGCGCAAGCCUGAUCCAGCCACACCGCGUGCGUGAAGAAGGACUUCGGGUUGUAACGCCCUUUUCUUGGGAAAGAAAAGCAGCAGGUUAAUACCCCGCUGUUCUGCCGGUACCCAAAGAAUAAGCCCCGGCUAACUUCGUG
RNAcentral lists this ribosomal RNA (491 nucleotides) under uncultured bacterium. RNAcentral describes it as "partial 16S ribosomal RNA". It matches the Rfam family "Bacterial small subunit ribosomal RNA", at positions 29 to 507 of the family's 1533-position model. The record is from RNAcentral.